GGGGGGGGGGGGGGGGGGGGCGGGGGGGGGGGGGGCGGGCGGGGCCUUCGGGUCUGGUGGCGCACGGGUGCGUAACGCGUGGGGACCUGCCCUUAGGGUCGGAAUAACUCCCCGAAAGGGGUGCUACUACCGGAUAAUGUCUUCGGACCAAAGAUUUAUCGCCUUGGGAUGGGCCCGCGUUGGAUUAGCUAGUUGGUAGGGUAAAAGCCUACCAAGGCGACGAUCCAUAGCUGGUCUGAGAGGAUGAUCAGCCACACUGGGACUGAGACACGGCCCAGACUCCUACGGGAGGCAGCAGUGGGGAAUAUUGGACAAUGGGCGAAAGCCUGAUCCAGCAAUGCCGCGUGAGUGAUGAAGGCCUUAGGGUUGUAAAGCUCUUUUACCCGGGAUGAUAAUGACAGUACCGGGAGAAUAAGCUCCGGCUAACUCCGUG
This 433-nucleotide ribosomal RNA is filed under the name uncultured bacterium. RNAcentral's name for it is "partial 16S ribosomal RNA". It matches the Rfam family "Bacterial small subunit ribosomal RNA", at positions 38 to 507 of the family's 1533-position model. The record is from RNAcentral.